RNAcentral lists this ribosomal RNA (880 nucleotides) under uncultured bacterium. Its description in RNAcentral is "bacterial SSU rRNA". It matches the Rfam family "Bacterial small subunit ribosomal RNA", at positions 628 to 1507 of the family's 1533-position model. The record is from RNAcentral.
UAAAACUAUUAUUCUUGAGUGCAGGAGAGGGAAGCGGAAUUCCUAGUGUAGCGGUGAAAUGCGUAGAUAUUAGAGGGAACACCAGUGGCGAAGGCGGCUUUCUGGACUGUAACUGACGUUGAGGCACGAAAGUGUGGGGAGCAAACAGGAUUAGAUACCCUGGUAGUCCACACCGUAAACGAUGGAUACUAGGUGUAGGAGAUGAUUUCAUCAUCUGUGCCGAAAGCAAACGCAAUAAGUAUCCCACCUGGGGAGUACGGCCGCAAGGUUGAAACUCAAAGGAAUUGACGGGGGCCCGCACAAGCAGUGGAGUAUGUGGUUUAAUUCGAAGCAACGCGAAGAACCUUACCAGGGCUUGACAUAUACAGGAAUAUCAUAGAGAUAUGAUAGCUUUUCGGAGUCUGUAAACAGGUGGUGCAUGGUUGUCGUCAGCUCGUGUCGUGAGAUGUUGGGUUAAGUCCCGCAACGAGCGCAACCCUUGUGAUUAGUUGCCAGCACGUAGAGGUGGGAACUCUAAUCAGACUGCCGGUGAUAAAUCGGAGGAAGGUGGGGACGACGUCAAAUCAUCAUGCCCUUUAUGUCCUGGGCUACACACGUACUACAAUGGUCGUAACAAAGAGAAACGAAACAGUGAUGUAGAGUGAAACUUAAAAAGCGAUCUCAGUUCGAAUUGAAGGCUGAUAUUCGCCUUCAUGAAGUCGGAAUUGCUAGUAAUGGCAGGUCAGCAUACUGCCGUGAAUACGUUCCCGGGCCUUGUACACACCGCCCGUCACACCAUGAGAGUUGGAGAUACCCGAAGCCUAUGAGCUAACUUUAAGAGGCAGUAGUCGAAGGUAGAAUCAAUGAUUGGGGUGAAGUCGUAACAAAGGUAGCCGUAGCC